GUCAGCUCGUGUCGUGAGAUGUUGGGUUAAGUCCCGCAACGAGCGCAACCCUUGUCAUUAGUUGCUACAUUCAGUUGGGCACUCUAAUGAGACUGCCGGUGACAAGCCGGAGGAAGGUGGGGAUGACGUCAAGUCAUCAUGGCCCUUAUGUCCAGGGCUACACACGUGCUACAAUGGGCGAGACAGAGCGACGCGAAGCCGCGAGGUGGAGCAAAUCGCAGAAAAUCGCCCUCAGUUCGGAUUGGAGUCUGAAACCCGACUCCAUGAAGGUGGAAUCGCUAGUAAUCGCGCAUCAGCAUGGCGCGGUGAAUACGUUCCCGGGCCUU
Molecule: ribosomal RNA, 326 nt
Filed under: uncultured Allobrachymonas sp.
Lineage: Bacteria; Pseudomonadati; Pseudomonadota; Betaproteobacteria; Burkholderiales; Comamonadaceae
Description: bacterial SSU rRNA
Rfam family: Bacterial small subunit ribosomal RNA
Source: RNAcentral